This 1086-nucleotide long non-coding RNA is filed under the name Bos indicus x Bos taurus (hybrid cattle). RNAcentral describes it as "lncRNA (ENSBIXG00000028333.1)". The record is from RNAcentral. Lineage: Eukaryota; Metazoa; Chordata; Mammalia; Artiodactyla; Bovidae.
GCCUCAGCAACGUGGUUUUAAAAUGAGAAGCACACCGGAUUACUCUGUGUAGGUGGUGGAGUGGGAGGAGGUGAAAUGCAAGCUUUAUUUUCCCGACUGCUUGUCAUCCAAUUCCCCACUUCCCUCUGACUUUCAUGAGUGAUGAGGUCAUCCCGGCGCAGGAAAAUCAAACUCCUAUUUUUCAAACCCAAUAAAGGCCCGCAUUGUAUCCUGCGUAAACAGAGGCCAGACGGGUAGGGUGGCAGGAACACGAGCGGCCCGCCCCCUGGCGGUCGCCUGAGGCAGUCGAGCCCUGCACUCCACCAAACUGCGACAGGGAGGCGGAGAGGCUGCGAGCUAAAACGACGCAGAGAUCCAUUACAGCCGCGGCAGGGGAGAGGAUGCUGCAAGGAGAUGAUGCACGCCACAGUACAGCCUCGCUGGCUGGUCCCGGCUUCAUCCGGCCUCAGAUCCGCGUGGGGACCCGAAAGGCAGAACCAUCAUGGGGGCGGGGGGCCUCCUGUAGAUGCAGAGAGGCACUGGCCGCUUCUAACCGUCCAGAGCUUGACUGCCUGUGGACUAAGGUUUCUAACCUAGCUUCCCUAAGUGACUGUGUUACUCAGGCCUCGCUCAGACAGUUGCUGUAAAUAGCUACAAACUCCCUUCUCCCGCAUUUACAGCAAUCUGUGUGAUUGCAUGUAUAAUAUCUAAGGCCUUGAUGAAAUGUCCAGGUGCUCCAUCCAGUCCCUGACAUACUGGGAUACUGGACAUUCCCACUUCCCCCAAUCGGUGGAAGUCAUCUCCAAUAUAUAAAGAAAUGCUAUGCUAUGCUAAGUCACUUCAGUCGUGUCCGACUCUGUGCGACCCCAUAGACGGCAGCCCACCAGGCUCCCCCGUCCCUGGGAUUCUUCAGGCAAGAACACUGGAGUGGGUUGCCGUUUCCUUCUCCAAUGCAUGAAAGUGAAAAGGGAAAGUAAAAUCACUCAGUCGUGCCCGACUCUUAGCGACCCCAUGGACUGCAGCCUACCAGGCUCCUCCGUCCAUGGGAUUUUCCAAGCAAGAGUACUGGAGUGGUGUGCCAUUGCCUUCUCCGAUAUAAAGAAAUGC